Cydia splendana is the source of this 1599-nucleotide long non-coding RNA. RefSeq lists it as uncharacterized. Lineage: Eukaryota; Metazoa; Arthropoda; Insecta; Lepidoptera; Tortricidae. The record is from RefSeq and is a predicted model, not a curated record. The transcript has 3 exons.
AUAAUUUUAAAUGAUUUCUUUAACUUUGUUUUAGACACUUAACAUUUCCACACUUUCGUCUCUUAAGACUAAUUCAACUAACCCUACCGGAAAAUCCUCAAUGCCACUACUUGAAGAAGUGAUUCCACGGUUAAGGCCCAGAGAAGUAUCAAAGAAGAGUCCUAUAUCCAGCGAGACAGCAGCAACAACAUUUAAGGAUGAUACAAAAAAAAACUACAAGAAACGACAGUAUUCGAGGAAGAAAUGAGUGAUACGGAAAUGUCAUUGACAAUAGAAACGGAUGUCGAAAAUAUCACGAUACCAAACAAAGUUGUUGAGGGACGGAGCAUAAUAGACUUUGAAUUCUUUAUGAAACAGUUAACUGAUAUUGAGACACACGGUGAGAAAUUCGGUUGUAGGCUGAGCAAUCUCAAUUUAGUUCGAGAGAAACAAACGGGACUCAAAUCAGUUUUUUUUUUAUAAAUGUCGUAUGUGUGGUUGCAAAUUUCAGCUAAAGACAUGCGAUGACGAUGCAUUAAAAUUAGAUAUCAAUCCGGGCGCUGUAUCGGGCGCCAUUGUCACUGGAAUUGGGUUGUCGAAUCUGAACGAAGUAAAUACUUCAAUGGAUUUACCAACCAUGGCGUUCCCACUGUAUAGCUCAACUCACGAUGAUGUCGCAGAAAUGUGGCGCAUAACUGCCGAGCAAACAAUGCAAAAACUGCCGAAGAAGAGCGAGAUGCUGCAAUAUCACGUGGUGAUGUCAAUGAUGCAGGGAUUGCAACGGUGCCUGUAGAAGCAGACGCCUGUUGGAGUAAACGGUCCUAUUGAACCAACUAUUCGGCUCUAUCUGGUUGUGCUGCUAUCAUUGGCGAGCAUACCGGAAAAGUACUUCAUAUCGGAGCUCGCAACAGGUAUUGCGUCAUAUGUGCUCGUGGUCAAAAAAAAAAACCUUCCCCCUCGUCAACAUAAUUGCACCAAAAAUCAUGUAGGAUCAGCAACAAGCAUGGAGCAAGCAAUAUUGGUGGAAGGUUUUAAGUGCUCGGUAGAAGAGAGGAACCUUAUAUACAAAACAUUAAUAGCCGAUGGUGAUUCCAGCACAUACAAGAACAUUGUUGAUAGUAGGCCAUAUCCAGAUGUUUUUAUACAAAAAAUAGAGUGCACCAACCACCUGUUACGUAACUAUAACGGAAAAAAUAUGCAACUGCCGAAAGAUACAACGAUUCCUUUAAAAGAACGCAAACUUUUAACUUCGGAUCACAUAACUAGACUUCGUACAGCUAUCCGCUCAGCAAGCAAGUAUAGAAAUGAAUAAAAUAACUCCAACGAGACCAAGAUUAAAAAUUUACAAAAAGAUAUAAUUAACAGUAUUUACCACAUCUUUGGAGAUCACGCAGAUUGUGAAGAUUACUACUGCACACAAGAAAGAAAAGCAGAACAAAAUUUAGUUCCACCCACUCGAACCAACGUUAAUGAAGAAAUUAAGAAAAAAUGCAUCACAGCUGGCUCUUAACUCCAGAAGUCUCUUGUGUAAUUUCACUAAUAAUCGAGCCGAACAAUUUAAUAGCAUGGUCGCAAAAGUAGUGGGAGGCAAGAGAGUAUUUUUUUCCUUAAAGGACUCGU